RNAcentral lists this long non-coding RNA (2076 nucleotides) under Nilaparvata lugens (brown planthopper). RNAcentral's name for it is "uncharacterized LOC120353816". The record is from RNAcentral. Lineage: Eukaryota; Metazoa; Arthropoda; Insecta; Hemiptera; Delphacidae.
AUUUUCAAAAUAUUGAAUUAAAUCUGAUGAUCUUGAAUGUUACAAUUUGUCUCAUAAUAUUUUAACAUUAUCAGGUCACGUGAUGUUAUAUCGGAUAGUUCCUAAAUAAAAAUGCGAUACCAGAUUUUACAGGUUGAGAAAUACCCCUCUAUCAAAUCCCCUUUUUUAACGUUUUCCUUUUUGCAAAUUCCUUGAUAUUAGCGUGACACUACAUAUUCUAUAGUUAGAGAAGUAGCUGGGAAUUUGGUGGAGAAAUAUUCCUUCAACAGAUCUCAUGAUUAAAAAAUUAUUGUUUCAAAUACUCCAAUAUUAACGUUACAUUUAUAGAUUUAUUCAUUAUUUAUUUAUUUAUUAGAUUGGUAGGUAGGGAAAUAGCUGGGAAAGAAUUGUAAUAUUUGAAAAUCGGCCAUCAGAGAUAGUAGUCAUUUGUAGCCUAUUGCAAUCUGUGAAACUGACAACGUUUAACCCUGUUCGUUUAACAUAAAAAUGGUAUUUUCUAUUGUUUCAACUUGAAUUUGAUGAAACUCAAAAUAUUUCUUUAUGAGAAAUUGCAAUUUUUAUGAAUGUACUGACUUCGGCAAAUAAAUUCCAUUAAUUGAUUUAAAUAGAUGUGAUAACAAAGUUUAACUCUGAAAUUGUCAACCUCGAAUUAGUACAAUUAAAAAUAUUCAGCCCGUUGUUUAUCUGACUUUUUAUAUGUGAAUUUCUAUGAGAGACUUAUGAGUUAGGUUGAGUUAGUUGGGUUUAUUCUGUAAUAUUUUAAAUUUCUUAUCAUUUUUAUACUUUAGUGCAUUUAUAUUUCUCGUCAUCCAGGUUAGUUAUGACUUAUGAAGUUGGUUUAAUAUAUAUGUUUGUACAAAAAUGUUGUCGUUAGAAGAUUAGUUUCAGAGACUCUCAUCUCAGUGAUAUAGUGAGACUCAAAAUGAACAUAUAAAAGGAGAAAUCCAUUAAAAAACGAGUUGGUACAUUAUGGAGUCGAGGAAUCUAUCAUGAAACAUACAAGAAAGGAUCUGUGGAAAAUAAUCUGGAUGGGACUAAGCAACCAGCGUUGGAAUAUUGAGGUUGGGAAAUACUGUGAUAUUGAUACAAAAAGAAGAUGUUAUAAUAAAGUCUCAAGAUGAACUCUCAUGCAACCUGAAGUGAACAAAAUGAUGGAGAUUAUUCUACAUCUACAAUAUUUCGAAAAACUUGAUUGGAGAAAUAUAAAGUUACCAACGAACUCUGCUCAUUCUUCAGCCAACUUAUGAUGUCACCUGAUGUUCUGGAAACCAAAAGAUUAUGAAAACUCCAUUUGUUCGAUGAAUUUUGGUGUCUCAAGCCCUCAACGAAGUAUACGAAGUGAUAAAAUCGAAUUAAUACCUUCAAAGAAUGGUUAACAUUAUCUACGAAUUGCAGUUCUUCAGAUUUUACCAGCUCAGCGAUAUUUUACACCUUCGAAUAAUUCUAGUGAUUCAUCCACCGAUUUUGAGCUUCGUAAAUUCAACUAACAAAUUUCAUAAGUGAUUACAUUCUUCGCAAAUUCAGUUUGCUACACAAUUUCAAAGGAAAACUCUCUAUAAUGUAGAGCAGCUCCACAUGUUUGUAUACAUGACGGAUCAUGACCAAUAAUUCAUGUCCUCAAACACAAUUCAUCUGAGUAAUUUACAAUAAUAAUGAUUGGAUAAAUUUUCAUUGAACUGAUAGCCCUUCCAGUGCUCCGAUGUGAGAAACUGUUAUCGUAAUUACAAGUGUGUAUAAAAGACUAGAACUGUUUUCGUCGGAUUUAUUAUUUAUUCUAAAUAAAAUAUUUCAAUUACCUACUAUUCGAACUGUCCAAGUUGGAAAAUAUUUCCCCAGACUUUUGUUUUCCAUCGAUCUUCGAACUUGUGUUCAACAAUUUUCCAAUAUCGAUUAUAUUUGCGACAAAACUGUUGAAUUUAUGGGAGUAUUGAUUUGGUUGAUUUUACUUCCGAGAUUACUACUAACUUGUAGAAGAAAUUUUAAAAAGUUCAAUUUUUCAAAGAUGUUGAAUAUGGAUGUAAUGAUUUUCGUCUUGAACGACAGAUUCACAGAUUAAGAAUAGUUGGAAUACUAGUG